Molecule: ribosomal RNA, 342 nt
Filed under: uncultured bacterium
Lineage: Bacteria
Description: bacterial SSU rRNA
Rfam family: Bacterial small subunit ribosomal RNA
Source: RNAcentral
AAUCAACGCUGGCGGCGUGCCUAACACAUGCAAGUCGAACGCGAAAGUUCCUUCGGGGAUGAGUAGAGUGGCGUCCGGGUGAGUAACGCGUGGGUAAUCUGCCUUUGGGGUGGGGGAGUAACUCAGGGAAACGUUAGGGCGUAAUACCGCAUAAUGCAGCGGCUCGACAUCGAGACAGUUGUUAAAGCAGCAAUGCGCCUGAAGAGGAGCCUGCGUCUGAUUAGCUAGUUGGUAAGGUAAUGGCUUACCAAGGCUACGAUCAGUAGCUGGUCUGAGAGGACGGGCCAGCCACAAUGGCACUGAAACACGGGCCAUACUCCUACGGGAGGCAGCAGUGGGGAA